RNAcentral lists this small nuclear RNA (164 nucleotides) under Myotis brandtii (Brandt's bat). RNAcentral describes it as "U1 spliceosomal RNA". It matches the Rfam family "U1 spliceosomal RNA". Rfam says of the family: U1 is a small nuclear RNA (snRNA) component of the spliceosome (involved in pre-mRNA splicing). Its 5' end forms complementary base pairs with the 5' splice junction, thus defining the 5' donor site of an intron. The record is from Rfam by way of RNAcentral. Lineage: Eukaryota; Metazoa; Chordata; Mammalia; Chiroptera; Vespertilionidae.
AUACUUACCUGACAGGGGAAAUACCAUGAUCACGAAGGUGGUUUUCCCAGGGCGAGGCUUAUCCAUUGCACUCCGGAUGUGCUGACCCCUGCGAUUUCCCCAAAUGUGGGAAACUCGACUGCAUAAUUUGUGGUAGUGGGGGACUGCGUUCGCGCUCUCCCCUG